UGCAAGUCGAGCGGACAGAAGGGAGCUUGCUCCCGGAUGUUAGCGGCGGACGGGUGAGUAACACGUGGGUAACCUGCCUGUAAGACUGGGAUAACUCCGGGAAACCGGAGCUAAUACCGGAUAGUUCCUUGAACCGCAUGGUUCAAGGAUGAAAGACGGUUUCGGCUGUCACUUACAGAUGGACCCGCGGCGCAUUAGCUAGUUGGUGGGGUAAUGGCUCACCAAGGCGACGAUGCGUAGCCGACCUGAGAGGGUGAUCGGCCACACUGGGACUGAGACACGGCCCAGACUCCUACGGGAGGCAGCAGUAGGGAAUCUUCCGCAAUGGACGAAAGUCUGACGGAGCAACGCCGCGUGAGUGAUGAAGGUUUUCGGAUCGUAAAGCUCUGUUGUUAGGGAAGAACAAGUGCGAGAGUAACUGCUCGCACCUUGACGGUACCUAACCAGAAAGCCACGGCUAACUACGUGCCAGCAGCCGCGGUAAUACGUAGGUGGCAAGCGUUGUCCGGAAUUAUUGGGCGUAAAGGGCUCGCAGGCGGUUUCUUAAGUCUGAUGUGAAAGCCCCCGGCUCAACCGGGGAGGGUCAUUGGAAACUGGGAAACUUGAGUGCAGAAGAGGAGAGUGGAAUUCCACGUGUAGCGGUGAAAUGCGUAGAGAUGUGGAGGAACACCAGUGGCGAAGGCGACUCUCUGGUCUGUAACUGACGCUGAGGAGCGAAAGCGUGGGGAGCGAACAGGAUUAGAUACCCUGGUAGUCCACGCCGUAAACGAUGAGUGCUAAGUGUUAGGGGGUUUCCGCCCCUUAGUGCUGCAGCUAACGCAUUAAGCACUCCGCCUGGGGAGUACGGUCGCAAGACUGAAACUCAAAGGAAUUGACGGGGGCCCGCACAAGCGGUGGAGCAUGUGGUUUAAUUCGAAGCAACGCGAAGAACCUUACCAGGUCUUGACAUCCUCUGACAACCCUAGAGAUAGGGCUUUCCCUUCGGGGACAGAGUGACAGGUGGUGCAUGGUUGUCGUCAGCUCGUGUCGUGAGAUGUUGGGUUAAGUCCCGCAACGAGCGCAACCCUUGAUCUUAGUUGCCAGCAUUCAGUUGGGCACUCUAAGGUGACUGCCGGUGACAAACCGGAAGAAGGUGGGGAUGACGUCAAAUCAUCAUGCCCCUUAUGACCUGGGCUACACACGUGCUACAAUGGACAGAACAAAGGGUUGCAAGACCGCAGG
Molecule: ribosomal RNA, 1221 nt
Filed under: Bacillus pumilus
Lineage: Bacteria; Bacillati; Bacillota; Bacilli; Caryophanales; Bacillaceae
Description: bacterial SSU rRNA
Rfam family: Bacterial small subunit ribosomal RNA
Source: RNAcentral